AUUGAACGCUGGCGGCAGGCCUAACACAUGCAAGUCGAGCGGUUGACGGGAGCUUGCUCCCUGAUUCAGCGGCGGACGGGUGAGUAAUGCCUAGGAAUCUGCCUAUUAGUGGGGGACAACGUUUCGAAAGGAACGCUAAUACCACAUACGUCCUACGGGAGAAAGCAGGGGACCUUCGGGCCUUGCGCUAAUAGAUGAGCCUAGGUCGGAUUAGCUUGUUGGUGAGGUAAUGGCUCACCAAGGCGACGAUCCGUAACUGGUCUGAGAGGAUGAUCAGUCACACUGGAACUGAGACACGGUCCAGACUCCUACGGGAGGCAGCAGUGGGGAAUAUUGGACAAUGGGCGAAAGCCUGAUCCAGCCAUGCCGCGUGUGUGAAGAAGGUCUUCGGAUUGUAAAGCACUUUAAGUUGGGAGGAAGGGUUGUAGAUUAAUACUCUGCAAUUUUGACGUUACCGACAGAAUAAGCACCGGCUAACCCUGUGCCAGCCGCCGCUGUAA
RNAcentral lists this ribosomal RNA (500 nucleotides) under uncultured bacterium. RNAcentral describes it as "partial 16S ribosomal RNA". It matches the Rfam family "Bacterial small subunit ribosomal RNA", at positions 30 to 523 of the family's 1533-position model. The record is from RNAcentral.